Molecule: unclassified non-coding RNA, 153 nt
Filed under: soil metagenome
Description: partial internal transcribed spacer 1
Source: RNAcentral
CCGAGUUUACAACUCCCAAACCCCUGUGAACAUACCUAUCGUUGCUUCGGCGGAUCCGCCCCGGCGCCCUCGGGCCCGGAUCAGGCGCCCGCCGGAGACCCCAAACUCUUGUAUUUCUUUAGUAUCUUCUGAGUAAACAAGCAAAUAAAUUAA